Molecule: long non-coding RNA, 8206 nt
Organism: Parus major (Great Tit)
Lineage: Eukaryota; Metazoa; Chordata; Aves; Passeriformes; Paridae
Exons: 3
Source: RefSeq, a predicted model, not a curated record
UGCCGAGGGAGCUGCAGGGACACCGGCCCGCACCCCUGGGCGCUCCGGGCCGCAUCGAGUGAUCUCCGACAUUCACCUGCAGCCAUCUGCAGUGCUGUUCCCCUCAUCGCUGAGCAGAGCAGAAGGAUGCCGCCAGGAAUGGGAGUGCUUCCCAUCUUUGUAGUCUGCCGAAAACAUUUUCUUCUAGGUUUGUUAGAAAACAUUUUUAUCUUUUUGUUUUUAAAACAUUAGCAAAAAUAUUGCUGCUCUUGGCAUUGUGUGUAUCAAAGUUUCCCUCCUCUAUUUUUUUAUUGGUAUUUUCUUGAAAAUUAAGGUUUUUUAAUGCAAUUCCAGCCUCAGGGAAUACAAGGAGAGUAGAAUUUGGUGGCACAAAGUGCUGAAUUAGUACAAAUUUCAUCAAUAACUGAAAUGUCUGUAUUCCUUAAUAGGAUCUUUAUUAGGGUUUAUUUCAUUCUAUGCAUAUUCAUCAGCUCAGAGUCACUUCAGCAAUGGUAACUUACUAUUACUAAGUCAUAUUUGCCAGGAGCACAAAUGUUUUUAUACUGCCAAGAGUAGAAGAUGGAUAUAUCAGGGCUGUUAAACAACUAAAAAUAUCACUAUCACUCUACUAAAUUUUCUGUUCAUGUAUAGCAUAACUAUGUUUGUCUUGAAGACAGUUUCCAUAAGAAAACAUUUUUUUCCCAGAAAGCAAAAUAUUAUUGAACAACCUUGCAUACUAAGGAUUACAUAUUUUUUUUUUUCUGGUGGUUUACAUGGUACAUCUCUUAUUUUUAAAAAAGUAUUAUUCCCAUAGUGAGUUUCAGUGUUAGUCAGUAAGGUCUGACUGUAGAUUUUAAGGACAGAAAAUAGAGUUAUGCCUUUAUAUAGGCAGAGAGCUGAUUUCCUGAUAGUACUGAUGAGCUUGUGCUUGUACAGAAUUGAUCAGUAAUUAAAUUCAGACGUUGGCUCAGUUUGAAGUGUUUUAUGCAACUGUGAAUCCAUGGCAUUUUAGAGAUAAGAAUGCAGAAAUCAGAAAAACACCCACUUCACAGAAAUGAAAAUCCAAAUUGUGUGGACUUCUGUUUGCAAGUGCAAGUCUAAGAGAGAUGGUGGAUUUUCACGUCCCCAUCCUUCCCCAGCUCCUUUUCUUUCUCUCUGUUUGAUACUCACCCACUGUCAGAUUAUAAAUGGAAACAAAGGCUUCAUGCUGAAUCUGAGGAAAUGCCCCAACUCUUGUUCUUCAAGAAGUCUGGGUCAGGAUUUUAAUUCUUGGCGCUGGCCCAUGGUUUGAUGUGUUGGGAUGCAAAGUGCCUCGUUUGCUUUCAACCAAUGCUAUGAAUGCAGAGCAAGGGGAUUAGUUUAUAAAGAUUACCUAAAGAAUAUGUUAUGGUGCUGGCCAGAGAAUAAUCUAAGGCUGGAAAACACAGAGAAAUCACUUUCUAGUUUACCAUAAGUCUUUUAAAUAUUGCUAUAAAGCAGAAAUCCAGUGACUACUGUGUUAAGGACUCAAAGCAUGCUGGCAAAUUGCCUGGUAGGGCAAGUAAGGACAUCUCACAAUCCAUCUUAAACAAGAGGGAGCAGCAAUUUCUUGCAUUCUGUCAUUUGGCAAAUAUGCAGUUCUCAGAUGUAACAGUACUGAGUAUUUUACUGAAACUUUCAGACGUCAGCCUGCACUCUCCAUAUGUUCAGGGUUUUACAAGCUGUUUCCAUGACAAAACUAGAUUGAUUCUCGAUCAGAGCCAGAUAGUUAAUUGGUUAAAUCCAUUUUAUUUACCAAAAAAUGUAGGCAAAACACUCUUCUCUUCAAUACAGUAGACAGAUUCCUUUUUUAUGUUUUUCCUUCUUUUCCAAAAUCUACUCUGUUUAUAAAGCUUUCUCUGAGGAAGAUGGUUCCAUCACUAACUUUUUGUUGUUGUUUGUUGUUUCUAGUUUUCUUUCUUAAUUACAUUUAAUUCAUUAGGAAAAGAAUUUUUUUUUUUUUUGCCAUAUAGAACUUCUGAAUCCAACCUUUCAAAAUGCCUGUUCAUUUCUGCAUUUCUGUAAGAGUGAAACUCCUAGGUAGCCUAUGAUUUGCGUGAGAUACUAACCAUGGGUCGAUAGAAAGAAUAAUGUCUACUGUAUGUAUCAUUAAUGCACAUGUUGGAAAAUUGCUAUAAUCAGGAGAAUUUGUUCCUGUUUUUUGUUGUUUGACCUUUUUUUUUUUUCUUUUUUCCUUCAGGGUGAGUAAGACAGGAAAAAAAUACUUAUCCAUCCACUGACCAAGUGGUAAACUAGAAUAUGCUUCACAAAGGGAUAAGUACCAUCCAGGAGUUUUAUGGAGGGCAAAGCUAUUUGUAAUUAAAGGAUCAUGACACUAUCUGGCCCAGCUGCAGUUACUCUUCAGAAGCAGAAAUCACUCCGUGUAUUAUUUAGAUUGUCACAUCUUCAUAGAUUCACUGAAAGAAAUUUUAUUUUUGAUGUGCAGAUAAAGUCCAGACAUCCUGAAUUAUGUUAACUUAUGCUGAGAGUCAACAUUUGAGUUUUUCCCUGAAGUUUUGGUGGCUUCAGCUCACGUAGAGCCAGUGGAAGAGGGCUAUAACCAGCAGACACUGAAGUGAAUUUCAGGGAGGUAAUUUUUCACUCGUGCUGUUUUCUGUGAAGCCUCAGAUCAAAGCCUGCUCUGGGAAGUGGAGUAGGCCAAAGCCACAGUGCCAGCUAAGGUCCUGUGGAUUUUACCAGGCACCUGACUCCUUUUUGUGGCUUAUCUUCUGCAAUAUGGGCACUCAAACAUUGAAGAGACACUUAAAAUUUCUUCUCAGCCUUGCUCUUGUGUAACAGGUAGGCCUUUUAAAACGUGUGCACAUUACUUCAUUUUUAGUCACAGCUUCGGAUAAUCUUUUCAUUUCAUGUAAAAGCAACUUGAUUUGUGGCUUUGACUUUUGAAGAAUUCAAGAGUAAACUAUAGGCUAGUCUUUAGAGAUAAAUUCAAUCUAGGAAAUGAGAUAUAGAUUAUCACUUAUAUAUCAAAACUGAGUUGAUUCGAUCUCUUGGAUUUGAACUCAGAAAGACCUGAAAACCAUAAUCAAUUCAUAAUCCUGAAAGAUCUGGUGGGUUGGAUGUUUUCCCCAAUGAGAGAAUGAAUGUGGUAUUUCAAAGUGUUUUGGAGGAGGUCAAAUAUGGUUUACAUAUAGAAGAGAGGUUAAAUAAACUAUGUCAAGAUUUUCUGCAACAUGUUUCACUGAGACUAAAACAUGUCAUCAUGUCUUUAUGGGCUAAUGUUUAUAAAAGGUACAAAUUACUUUCAAGGGGGGCUAUCUGCUGAAGGUUAGCUGUUAAAAAUGUUUCCCUCUCUGUUUAUGGUUUUCUAAAUCUGGGUUGUCAAUGGAAAUGCUGGUAACUACUCUAAGUACUGCACAUUUCCAAAGACUUUAUCUGAAGCACACUGCUCUGAUACAUUCUUUACUGCUGACUGUGUUGGCUAUUACCAUGAAAUAAACAGAUUAAGUAUUGACUCCAUAAUUUUAAUUGCUAUGAUUUUAAGUGCACAACUACUGAAGUAUGCAAGUAAUUCAUUUAAGUCUAGAUCAAAACAAUCUAGUUUGCAAAGAAUGAUCUAUUAUCUUUGAAAUGUGCAAAACCCCAAGAAAAUGUGGCUAUAUCCUAGGAAGCAUUGAGAUAGAGAAAGUAGGUAAAUGUUUUAUGCUCCCAUGGAGAACUGUGGCUGAUUCAGAACUUGGUAAAGUCAGUGGGCUUGCUUUCAGUGGUAAUGAAGUCCAAGUCAUUGCACUGUAGCAAUUUCUAUAACAAAUAUGGGCCUGUUCAAUAAAUUGUGACUGCAGUUCAAAGCCAUCACCCUACAGUCAGCUCAAAAUGGUUGCACAGAUUUUAGGGAACCUAAACAUUCUUACUUGUGUUUUGAAUUUGGGGGUAUACUCAGUCAAUUUGAUAUGACUCAAGUUCUAAAGCAUUGUUUUUAUUUUCUUAUGUAACCUUCAAACCAUGGAAAAUUGUAUUUUUGAUAUUUUGCAGAAUUCAGGGAAUUUUGGUACCUGUUUUCAUACUCUUAUAUGUGCUUCAAACCAUGAAUGUUUGCUUUUAAUCACUGUUAUAAAAGCUAAGGCAAAUUUGUGAGUAUGACUGUGAUUUGAUUGGAGUUUUAAGUCUUUCUCUGAACAUAAGGCAAACAAAAAGAAACUUCUGGAUCACAAAUGUGCAGGUUGCAUUGCACCAUUAUUUUCAGCUGUCCUGAGAACUCAUUAUAUCUUUUGUCUAAACAUAAUUUUCUAUCAAGUGAGUAAACAAUGAGCUUGCAAUCCUAUUUCUCAUAAGCAUAUGCUUAAGUGUAUAUAUAAUUCCCUAUUGGUAAAGGGGACUGUGGAAACAUUUUCCUGAUUAAAAAUCAUAAGCUGAUAAAAAAGGAAUUAGAGUGGCAAGAAACUUGUGGUCCCACAAGAUCAAUUACCACUUUGUAGCAGGACUGGGCAAUGUGCUUAGACUAUACAUUUUUAUACAGCUUUUGGUAUUAGUCUGCACAGUUAGGCUACCUUUUCUCUUAGUAUAAUCAAGUGUUUUGGUAUUUCAUUUUCAUUGUGCUCCUAAGAUGCCAAGGAUAUAGAGCACAUGUCUCAAAUGAUUGCUUUUUAUUGCCUGGUUUACCUAAUUUUUAUUCUCUUUGGUCUCUGGAAGGUAUAUUUCUGGCCAUGUGUUAUUUUUUAAUUCAGUGACUUUUUGUAUGGACUUGCUUUGCAUUUCCUGGGCUCCUAAAUUUGCUUAUUGCAACACCUAUAUAUAAACUGCCUAGAAACUAGAGAAUGUUGAUACAUUGACAUCUAUUAAACACUUUGUCUUCCAUGAUGUAGUGUUCAUGUUUCCUCUUACUGUUUUAAGGCAACAGCUUCAAUACUAAGAAGAUACAGAGUUUUCAAGGCUGGUGGCGGGACAAUUAAUAGGGGAAAAGUGUAAAAUAUCACAUGGUAUGCUUUAAUUCUACUAUCAGAGGCUCAAGAGGGGAAAAUUUGACUUCAUUACAGUUCUAGUAUUCUCUUAUUGAGGAAUUGAACAGAACAAUGUCUUGGUUUACUGUGGAGUUUUCUAGGUGAAUAAAAGAAAUAUAAUUCUGGAUGAAGACUCAGUUUUAAGUCCUCUUUAGUAGAGCCCAUAAUUUUGGCCUAGCUAUUAUUUAAACAGUUGUGCUUCCAUAUACUUCAUUCAUGCCAGCAGGCUGCUUUACACCUGCCGCUUUGUAUUUAGUCUAUUCUGAAUGUAGGUAUACAGAAAAACAUCACUCAGUAUUCAAAAGAAAGUGCUUUUUUUCCAGAAUAAAUAUUGAGGAAAACAGCUGUAUGUAGGUUUCCAUAAUUUGGCUACCAAAUUAAAAAUAUUAUUGCAAUUUGUCUGUGCCCAUUGGAAUCCUUAUCACAGCUCUGCCUGGUGGCUGUCUCCACCAUUUUGUAGAGUACUUUUGCAGUAUUCUGGAUAUGUAAAUCAUCUAAGGAGCUGUUCUGUUUUUCAUGGGCAAACCUUGAAGUUUUUGGUGCUUCAACACUGCAACAGGAAAAAGUAGUUAUCUCUUAGGAAAAUCUCAGCUAUUGACUAAGGAGUAAGCCAUUAGAUCAAGUCCUUGCUGACCUGAGAUAUUCUGAUGUGCUCUUUCAGCAAUGAGCAUUUUUUUGCUGUCUAGAUUUUAUUAAGGUUCCCAGGACGAAACAACUAACCAGUUUAAUGAGGACCUCCCCAGCUCACUGUGGAGCAUUUAGCUCACAUUCCAGUUUGAAUCACUUGGCCAUGUUGUGACUCCUUCCCUGCAGCUCCGUUAGCUGGCAGCUGGUGGUAUUGUGGAAGCAGCCUCUUGCAUAGAACAGAACAGCUACCUUUGAAUCUUUAAAAAUACUUCAGAACUGGUGGCACUUCUUUAUAUAAGCACAGCAAAUAACCUAAAAAUAGAACUAUAGCUGGAACAUGAGCUAUUCAACAUGAAUUAAUGUGUUUGUUAAAAGUCUAGGGAUUUUUGUGAGUCUUGUGAGAUGCACAUGACCUUUUCAUGAUGCUCCCUAGAGAUACUAGUCAUCCUGUCCAAAAGCAGCAUGAAGUUUUUCAGGCGUACACAAACAAUGUAAUUAGGGCACUUUGGUCCUGGUAAUGGGGAAUGAACAUUGUAGUCCUGCUCAGAUGGCCUUUCCAAACAUACCACAGUGUUCAAAUAUUGUGACUAUUGGCACAAUUAGUGCAAGGCUCUUGUAUCUCUGGGUAUAACUAAGUCUUGUGCUUUCAGUGUAAAAUGUAAAGCAUCAUUUUCUUCUUUUAGCUACGUGCUUCUCCAGGUAACAAGGAACUGAAAUUGUGUGCCUGGAGCAGUGAUCUCAGUUUACUAGAAAUCCAUCCAGUCACCAAAACCAGCCUUCAGACUCAGCAUUAGUUAUAAACUCUAUCAUAUUAGCAUUCUCAGAGAGAUCAGGGACUGCACAAAUGGUGCAGGUUAAUGUAUCUUCCCUACAACGGAGGGCUGAGUCCAUGAUCAAGGAUUAUGAUGCGGUAGCACAAUAAAGAUGUGGUCAUUAUCAUCCCAGUGCUAUGGGGCCUCAUCAUUGUGCUUAGCAUCACACAAACACUUAGAAAAAAAAUAUCAUCAGUCCUUACAUCCUAAUCAUUGUCCUCACCUCUUGGACACAGAGGACCUGAGUGACCCACGGGUGGUGUUUCCUAUGUGCAUUGCAUUUGUACAUUGUCCAUGGCACACUUACUCUGCUGCUGACUACAGAAGCCAUGCCUCUGUGAAAACACAAUAGACCUUGCUCAUACAAAUUGCUUUCUUAAGAGCUGUUAAGAUUUUCAAAAUGUCAUAAUUAAGACAUUCAAAUAAGCAAGCAGCCAGAUGAAUACAUUGUUCAUGUAUUCAAGACUGAGACAGAUAAACAAAAUGUUCAGAAUUAAUGUGAUCUUGCUAUACUCAUCACACUUACAAUGUAUAUUUUUUGUCCAAAUAAUGUUUCUUUAGCAUUUAUAGCACUGUGUCACAGUCUUGAAAAAAAUAAUACAGUAAGUAAUAAUGAUAAACAAUGUCCUGGCCAAAUGAAACUUAAAAACAGGCUUGGCUUAAAAAAAAUCUACCAGUGAGUAUGGAGCUAUUAUUAAUCCUUACAAGUGCUGUGGCUUUUGAUACACAACUGACAAAAUAAUCCAGAUGGUGCUGCAGUGUUUUACUGAAAAAAGUGUUCUGUAAAGGGCUGCCUUUCACCAGGAACUUCUCUUUUAUGGGUAAACUCUUAUGGCAACAGCCUCGACAACUUAUAUUGACUUCUUUGGUAUGUGUCUAAUACCUGUUGGCCAGAGAUGCUCAGCAGACAAGUUUCAUGCCUGAAGUAUCUCCUUAUGCUUAAAUGCCACAAUAAAUUUCUAAUUUUUUCAGUCUAAGCUUUUAUCUGGCUCUCAGAACAGCUGGAUAUGUGUAGUCAGCACCAAGCUCCUCCUAGGUAGGCUGGUGGUCCUCUUCUUCCAUCACAAUGAAACUGAGGUAGCACUAGAGCCUCUGUGCUAGACACUGCUUUUGAUAAAGCUGCCUUUCAGAGUAAAGGAUUGUUCUGACAGUGAAAAACUUCCCAAAGUCACUGUAGGAGGAAGGUUUGUGGGAUGAAGCCCUCCAGAGGGACUUAGCUGCAAUAUUUGAGAGUCCUGGUGUGUAACACUUUGCUCUCCCACAGCCCAACACACCACAGGCCUGUGGGACUCUGUGUCACUGUGUACCAGGGCAGAGGAGGGAGAUGGUCAUGAAGGAAGAUGUGUUUAUUAUCAGACCAAAUAAGAGCACACAAGAAAAGACCUCCUUUGUGUUUAUUUAAAAAUAAAUAUUGAAGAGAAGAACAGAGGAAAAGACCUUCAGGAUCAUCAGUAAAAUGAUGACAGUAGCAAAGUUCAUAGCCAGAGACUGUGAUGCUAUAAAUCUAUCAAGAAAAAUAAGCUUGAAAGUAAAACAAGCUAGUUAUUUUUGAGCAUGGUUAUCUCAGUCAUGGUAACAUUAAAACACCAUCAGAGAGGUUCAGGUCAUAGUUCUUUUACAACUUUUCACUUUUCUAAGCUGUACACAGCUGCUUUUUGGGCAUGAAGUUAAGCUACAUGUGAAGACAGCUUCUGACACUCCUUGUUCUCCCUGGAUAGCUAUACUCUGAAGUUCACUUAAUAUCUUUUUGAGAAUGUUUUUUUCUGGCUUUCUAAUUGCUAAUGAAAUUACCUGAAGCCAGAUGUACAAAGAAGA